GAUGAAGAACGUAGCGAAAUGCGAUAAGUAGUGUGAAUUGCAGAAUUCCGUGAAUCAUCGAAUCUUUGAACGCACAUUGCGCCCUUUGGCCAUUCCAUUGGGCAUGCCUGUUCGAGCGUCAUUUCAACCCUCAGGCCCCCAGUGCCUGGCGUUGGGGAUCGGCGCGGCGCCCUCCGGGGCGCUGCCGGCCCCGAAAUUCAGUGGCGGUCUCGCUGUAGCCCUCCUCCGCGUAGUAGCACAACCUCGCGGCCUGGAGCUCGGCGGUGGCCAUGCCGUAAAACACCCCACUUCUGAAAGUUGACCUCGGAUCAGGUAGGAAUACCCGCUGAACUUAAGCAUAUCAAUAAGCGGAGGA
This 355-nucleotide unclassified non-coding RNA is filed under the name soil metagenome. RNAcentral describes it as "partial contains 5.8S ribosomal RNA, internal transcribed spacer 2, and large subunit ribosomal RNA". The stretch from base 1 to 121 matches the Rfam family "5.8S ribosomal RNA", at positions 35 to 154 of the family's 154-position model. The record is from RNAcentral.